This 923-nucleotide ribosomal RNA is filed under the name Talaromyces diversus. RNAcentral describes it as "LSU rRNA". It matches the Rfam family "Eukaryotic large subunit ribosomal RNA", at positions 38 to 966 of the family's 3401-position model. The record is from RNAcentral. Lineage: Eukaryota; Fungi; Ascomycota; Eurotiomycetes; Eurotiales; Trichocomaceae.
GCAUAUCAAUAAGCGGAGGGAAAAGAAAUCCAACCGGGAUUGCCUCAGUAACGGCGAGUGAAGCGGCAAGAGCUCAAAUUUGAAAUCUGGCCCCCUCGGGGUCCGAGUUGUAAUUUGGAGAGGAUGCUUCGGGUGCGGUCCCCGUCUAAGUGCCCUGGAACGGGCCGUCAUAGAGGGUGAGAAUCCCGUCUGGGAUGGGCGGCCGCGCCCGUGUGAAGCUCCUUCGACGAGUCGAGUUGUUUGGGAAUGCAGCUCUAAGCGGGUGGUAAAUUUCAUCUAAAGCUAAAUACUGGCCGGAGACCGAUAGCGCACAAGUAGAGUGAUCGAAAGAUGAAAAGCACUUUGAAAAGAGAGUUAAACAGCACGUGAAAUUGUUGAAAGGGAAGCGUUGGCCACCAGACGCGCCCAGGGGGGUUCAGCCGGCACGUGUGCCGGUGCACUCCCCCCUGGGUGGGCCAGCAUCGGUUUGGGCGGUCGCUGAAAGGCCCCGGGAAUGUAGCACCCUCCGGGGUGCCUUAUAGCCCGGGGUGUCAUGCGGCCCGCCUGGACCGAGGCCCGCGCUUCGGCGAGGAUGCUGGCGUAAUGGUGGUCAACGGCCCGUCUUGAAACACGGACCAAGGAGUCUAACAUCUAUGCGAGUGUUCGGGUGUCAAACCCGUCCGCGCAGUGAAAGCGAACGCAGGUGGGAACCCCUCCCGGGGCGCACCAUCGACCGAUCCUGAUGUCUUCGGAUGGAUUUGAGUAAGAGCAUAGCUGUUGGGACCCGAAAGAUGGUUGAACUAUGCCUGAAUAGGGCGAAGCCAGAGGAAACUCUGGUGGAGGGCUCGCAGCGGUUUCUGACGUGCAAAUCGAUCGUCAAAUUUGGGUUAUAGGGGGCGAAAGACUUAAUUCGGAACCCAUCUGGUAGCUGAUUCCCUGCGAAG